AUCCUAGUGCAGGAGCUUUACACGUAUCAGUGAGGAGAAAUCCGAGAUCGUGUUUUUGCUGGUUGAAAACUACCAAAUUGACUGCUUCAAGUGGGCCUCAUCGCCUGCUUGGGAAUUUUUGAAACACCACUGCCUCAACUCCUUGACAUCUUGGU
This is a small nuclear RNA of Penicillium chrysogenum, 155 nucleotides long. It matches the Rfam family "U4 spliceosomal RNA". Rfam says of the family: U4 small nuclear RNA (U4 snRNA) is a component of the major U2-dependent spliceosome. The structure of U4 snRNA from yeast and human has been reported. The record is from Rfam. NCBI's taxonomy places the organism in Eukaryota, Fungi, Ascomycota, Eurotiomycetes, Eurotiales, Aspergillaceae.